RNAcentral lists this long non-coding RNA (17014 nucleotides) under Capsicum annuum. Its description in RNAcentral is "long non-coding RNA (CANN_LNC016875)". The record is from RNAcentral. Lineage: Eukaryota; Viridiplantae; Streptophyta; Magnoliopsida; Solanales; Solanaceae.
UUCACCUUAAAAUCAAGAUUUUCCUUAUUCACAUCAGUCUAAAAACUGAGACUUUCUCUUCUUCCAAUUUGGCCCCUCUGUUUCUCUCUGAGAUUUGGGGCUUUUCAAGAAUUCAAAAUUGGAAUUCUUGAAGCCUCUAUUGAUAGCCGUUGAGCACGUCAAUUUGGCUAUAAAAGAGCCCUUUUGGACUCUCAUUUCUUUCAGCAGCAAGAAAAAGAAGCAAGAAGCAGGAAUCAUUAAAAAGAGGUUAUUAAAUUAGCGCAAACAAGUUCAUACUACUACUUCGGCUAUUUUCUGCCUUCUUUCCGAGUUCGAGCGCAAGUCCUAGUUCGGAUUCUCGAUGAGGACGCCCCUAGUUCGCAGCUCCGAAAAAGGUGCGAACCCGUCCUCUUUCAUUUUAUUUUCUUUUUCUUUUCCUUUCCUUCAUCUAUUUUGAUUCUACGAGCAUGGGACACCUUGAUUUGAGUUUGUGUUGUUGUUGCUGUUUUUGGUCUUGUGGAUAAAAUUGUAAUUUUGAUUCCAAAAAAUGUUUUGUGUGAGAACAUGUGGUUAUGUGGAUAUGUGUGUAUAGGUGUUGGUCGUUCCUAGUUUUAUGUUUCUUUCAUUUUUCAUGUUUCGAUGCGUUUGGAAUUGGUUUUGUGAACACCUAUAAGAGCAAAUCCUUUCCCGUCUUAAUUACGUUACACUUAGUUUUGUUAAUUGUUUAUCGGUGGUUAGUUGGGAUGAUAGCCGACUGGUUUUGGAUAUACAGAUGUGAAAAAAAUCAUUUUAUUAUUUCGGGAUUAUGUGUGCUUGCGACUUGCGAUUUAACUGAGUAAAUUCUAUGAAUUUUUAAGUAUUUUUUAGUGUGAUUGGCUGCCUAUUUUGGGAUAAUCGUAAUGUCGGUUGGGGUGUUUGCACAUCACAGUAGCUGUUUUAGCUCUUUCUAUACUUGUCCAUUUGUUUACAAGGUUUCGGCAACCUUAAUUUAGCAUGAUCAAGGCUCUAAAAGGCUUGGGAACUAAAGCGUAUCCAUUUUAUUUAUUAUGUCAUCUAUGUGUUGUUCUAUUAGCUCGAAAUAAGCUCCAUGAUGUUCGAAAUUUUUUUAGUACAGUUAGCUAAAACUUUCUUGAUAAUUUACUGCCCUCGUCUUAACUUAGUAGUUGCAUGAUUUCGUUGGAACCAAGGCUUAUUGUUUGGUUUCUUGCUUGUUAAUAACUGUGUAUAUCAAUAUAUACAAAAUGCUACUUCGUUGAUCUCAUUCCUUUUCACGUCUGUAAGUUAGAAGUAGUAAACUGUAGGUUACUUCUAUUGUUUGCUGCCAUUCAAAGGGCUUUCCUUCUGUUUAAUCAUUUUCCUCCUAUAUUUAGUGUGAAUUAGAAAGCAUAUAGUACUCAGUGAUUAUGUGAAUGUUUUGGUUUCCUGGUGUGAUGCGGAUAUCUAGUGUUGUUUCUUCUGUAAAAAGAGAUACUCUCCAUGGCAUAAGUGUCUUUAUAUUAUUUAGUUAGUAAAUAUGUUUAAAUCCUCUCAACAGUACAUGUCUUAGGUUCUUUUUGGAUUAAAGUUUUCCUUGAAGCUUCUUCUUAGUAUGAUUCAUCCGGAUUUGCUUUAUGUUCUGUUGUUCAAUUUACGUAGUUCCUUAUUUGGUUAUAGAGAUUUGGUAGAUUAUGUCUUUAAGCCUUUUAUAUGCUUCAGUUUUACCUAUGUUGUAUUGUGAUAAUUCGGGAGUCAGGUUGAAAUGUAUUCUUUCCUAAAAUUGCUUUUGCUGAAAUUUGAAGCCUACUUAUUACUACUAUAGUUGGCAUCCUCCUUUUGUUUAUUUGUUCGCAAGCUACAACUCUUUGAAAGAAGCUAUUUUCAAUCGGUACAUAGAUCACUUUGGGGACUUUGAAUUAGUCGGUUGCAAGUCUUAGGUUAGCCAUCUAGUUAAAGAAAGAUUCUCAAUUUCUAACUUGGCACGAAAGGCCUUACAAGAGUGGUUAUCUGUAUGUUCUUGAGUUCACUGUUUUGCUCGGUUUCAUGAUAUGAAUAUGGAAGCAGCAACUUAAAUCUCAAUGUGUUCGAAUAAGUGGGUUCUGCACUACUGUAUGAACAUUUUCCAAUGCGAGUCUCUUGUGUGUAUGCACUUCAAUAUAGUGAAGAGUUCAAACCAUUCAAUAAGAAUAGGUUCCCCGGUAAUUGGUGCUAAGCUGAAAGGAAGGGAUGUUGAGUUGUAAAAUGAUCUUGUGUGUUUGUUUGGCUUGUCAGUUUUGUUUCAUGGACUAAAAGAAGGCUGGUCGGGUUAGUUGUUUUAUCCCAAGUCAUAUUUGUAACAGCUAAUUAGUGAGUAAAUAUGCCGUGUUCAUUUGAUUUGUGUAAGUAUCGAUAAUUUCUUUUACAGACUAUUUAUGAUGUCUUGGAUGAACUGCUCAUGGGAUACUUUCCUGUAAACCUCGUCAAUUGUAUUCGAACAAGUUAAUAUAAUGUAAGCAUGCUUAGAUUGGUUUGAAAGUAUCGAAUGGUUUCAAUGAGUUUUUUUUUUUUUUUUUUUGGUGUUUGGUUUCAUCGAAUGAAUUCUAAAAUUUUUGAACCAUCUUUAGAUCAUACUUUUUCUAAUGAAAAGUUUGUGCUAUUCACUAAGGCUGUUGGGUACUAUGUAAUUUUGAUGAUUGACAAACUGACACAUGAAUGAAACAUGUUACUUGAGUUGGUCCACGCAUAGGAAAGAACAUCUCCAGUUUCACUGAUAGAUGCAGACAAGAUUGCUUAAAGACAAGAACGAAUAAGCAAGUUUAAUUCUGAUAUACUCAAGCUACUCAUCAUAUGGGGAAUAUAACAAGUUGAAUUUGAUUCAAACAUUUAAUGAUAAGGGAAAGCAAUUUGAGUUGAAAAAUGAGUCCUACUUGAAGAAGGAGUUUCACUUCUGAGUAUAUCUUGAAGAGUCCUAUGUGUGGGAGGAGAAAAAUUCUGAUAAAUAAACAUAUGCUGAUUUAAAAGGGUUGAAGUUUUACUACAACACUAAGGAAACAAGAGUUGGAAUUAAAGAAAGAGUCUCACUUGAAGUAGAACUCUAUGCAAUGAGAGUUCUAAUUAAAGGAGGAGUUUGAAAUAAAGAAUGACUCUUUGAAGAGCUGUGCUUAAAUCGAAGAUGCAUUAGUCAGAAUAAGACACACACUUAAAAAGCAGAAAAGCACAAAUGACAGAUUGACUUUUCGAAGUGCUACUCAAUCACUGAAGAAACAUGUUGAAGAACCUGGUCCUCAGUACAGAAUUCAGCUAAGAGUUUUAGCUUUGAUUUUUAGAGUUGUUCAUUGUGUUUGAACUAUUGAUGUAAUAUUAGUUUCAGUGUGUUAUAAACAGAACUAGGAGCUAGUCUUCGAGUUGGGAAAACUCAGAGACUUUGGGAACGCAUACCUUGGGAGGUGUGUAUGUAGUUAGGAAUUGGAGUUUAUAAUUCCUAGUUGUUGAGUUAUAAGAAUUAGAGUUUAUAAUUCCUAUUUGUUGGUUACAAGAGUUUUGUAAUCAGUCAUUGUUGAGACUCAGAGUUAUUUACUAAAGUUGGGGUUAAAUCCCAUAAAGGUGCAGGUAGUGAUUUUUUUUACACCUUUUGAGUCGGGUGUUUUCCACGUAAAAAUCUACUGUGUUCUUUACUUUCUGUUUUACUGCUUUCGUGGAACACAUCAAGCAACCCGUUCCAUCAAUAGGCAACAGUUAGGAGAAAAUAAGAUAAUUAGUAGGGCACGAAUUCUUAACAAGUGGUAUCAAAGCGAGGUUGUCUUAAAAAGGGCUAGCACCUAAGACAAAGAUCAAUAUGAUGAAUUUCGCACCACCUACUGGUCACAGUGAAUGUCAAUCCACUAUUAAACCUCCACUCUUUGAUGGUUCUCACUUCAUUUGGUAGAAAGCUAGGAUGGAAACAUUCAUUCAAGGCGAAGACUACGAGUUAUGGGAUAGGAUCACUGAUGGUCCUACUAUUCCAAUGAAGCUAGAAGAUGGGAAACAGGUCAAGAAAGUAAGAAAUGAAUUCACUCCUAAUGACUUAUUGGCAUUAAAGAAAAAUGCUAAGGCCAAAAACAAUUUGGUCUGUGGAUUAGGACCUGCUGAAUACAACAGAGUAUCAACAUGCACCACUGCUAAGAAAAUUUGGGAUGCUCUAGUAAAUGCUCAUGAAGGUAUAUCUCAAGUAAGAAAAUUCAGAAUUUCUCUUCUCUUCACUGAGUAUGAGGCAUUUAAGAUGAAGGAGAAUGAAACCUUGUAUGAGAUGAUGACAAAGCUUAUUGCCUUAACAAAUGAGCUGACCUACUUAGGAAAAAUUAUCUCUAAAGAGUAACAAGUCGAGAAGGUACCGAGGUUAUUACCAGAAUCAAAGUGGAAUGUUAAGAUAACUAUAAUCAGGGAAGCAAAUAAGGAUCUUGCAGGCAUGACCCUGGAUGAAUUAGUAGGGAAUUUAAGAACUUAUGAAAUGGAAAUUGAUGGAACUAAAAUGGUAGCAGCUUGGGAAUUUGACUUAGAUGAUGAUGAAGUUGAUGAAGCAGCACUCAUGGCUCUUGGAGAUUCAAACUUGGAGGAAGAAGAUUAUGCUAAUGAGGUAAGUAUAUUUGAACUUAAAGAAAAGUUGCAUUUGUUUUCUAAAACAAAACUUAUUUCCUUGAUGAGUGCACUAAUGGAUGACUUCCAAGAAUCAACUUCUGAUAGGGAUGAGCUAUUCAACAGUCUUGCAAGAAUCAAAUUUAAUUUUAUUGAUUUAGAAGCUUGCAAGAACACUGUUGAAUAGGAAAACUGCUCUCUCAAGAAACGGUUGAGCAACUUUAUUCUUCAAAUAAUGAUCUUAAUUCUAAAGCUCUAAAAUUGACACUCUCUGAAAAAGGAAAAAACACCAAGAGUAAAGAACAAGAAAAAGUUAAAUUUGAAUUGGUCAAGUACAAAGAAGAGUGCAAGAACGCAACAAAAAUAGUGAAUAAACUAAGUCAAGAAGUCUCUAAACUAAAACUUGAACUUGAAAGAGCAAACAAGUGGACAAAUUCCUCAAGAAUUGUUCAUAAGUUGAGUGAAAGAUAUCACAGUGAAAAAGCUGGGUUGGGUUUUCAAAAAGUCUUGAUGUUUAUCAAGACUUGUGCUAUAUCUGUGGAAACCUUGGACAUCCAACCACUGAAUAUCCAGUUGCUGCCAAAAGCAGAUCCAACAGUCUAAAUUUGGAAAAUAAAUUAUCUCAGACCAAGAAAAGGAUAACUAAAACUAGUCAGAGAAACGGGUCACAUAACCUGUUGCUUGCAUGGGCUAGAAGAAAUUUGGUUCAUCCAUUUACUUAUAAGAAAGGACCCAAGCUUGUCCGGGUGCCUAAAGUUAACCCCUAAUUUGUUUUGCAGGUGAGAGUGAAAGGAGGUAAGCAAAAUUUGUGCAAAAAUAAAGCUUGCUCAAGGCAUAAUACUAGAAGAAAAUAAAGUUUCCUUCACUUACCACAUUUAAAGGGGGAAUGGAUCAUUUGAAAAAUAACCAGAUUUGUAGUGCUCGUGUAAGGGGGAAGCAAGGAAGAUUUUAUUUAAAAAAAAAUGAGAAAAGAGGAUGACUGUGAAACUGAUGAGCAUGCACAGGAACAUAUUGUACCACCUGGUUCAACUGUUGUACAGACUAAGGACAUAUUGAUAGGGGAACAAUAAAUAAAGAAAUGGAUGUAUCAAUAAAACCAACACAAGUUGCUGGUAAUUUUGUUAGUAGUUCAUAAAAAUUGAUGUUGUCAAAAGAAUCUUGAGAUAUCUCAUGGGAAUCAAUGGCUUCAGACUAUGGUUUCCAAAGGAAAGCAAUUUAACUCUUGAGGGCUAUAAAAAUAUUGACUAUGUAAGCACCAAAGGCACUAAGUAGAGAGCAUUUUGAAAGGAAUAUGUUAGACUUGAGGAUGAUUAAAAUUGCAUGAACUCCCCUCAAUAAUUGACUAGAAUAAUCAUUUUUUUCUUAAUCUUAUUAGUUAAAAAGUUAUUCUAUUCACUCUUGCACAUUUAGUUGUGUGUCCCAAUUCCAAAUUUUUGACUUUUCUAACCUAAUUUUGUAUUAGAUUGUGCAGAAAAAUAGGUACAAGCAAGCAACUGUGACCACAAAGUUCUUAGUAGGUAUGUUCUUCAAUGACAUAAGUAUAGGCUGUCUAAGUUGAAAUAGUUGAGCACACCUAUUCAAUUCCUCAUACUUCAUUCUCCCCUUGUCUUAUAAAGAUGAUGAAUUGGUUGACCAAACUUUCUUUGAUUCUCUCCAAAUGGUUGUGCACAAAUAUGUUAAUACUACACCAGAAAUUCCUUUUUUUCUGUCAACCAAAAUAUCAGUUGUGUAUCAUGGAUUUUCCAAGCUUGAUCAUCAAUCAUAUGCAACAUAAGUUUUUUAAGAAAUGAAAAGGGAUAUGAUCUCCCUUUUAGUUCCUAAUUGGUUAUUUCUUUUGGAUUUCUCAGUCCUAGUUCAGGUUGAAUUAGAAAAUAACAAUAGAUGUUCUUGCACAGAUGAAUCAUGUUGCUCUACCAGUUUCAAUAAGGAGGGCUAACACUAAAAAAAUUGAAAAAAAUAAUUUGGGUAAAAAAAAACCAUCUGAACUUGAAGCUGCACAAGAUAGUCAUGAAGUGGAAUAAGUGGUCCUUCAUGCUUGGUUCAUGACUUUGAAGCUUGAACUUGAUUGAGGGAUGAAAAUGUUAAAGUCAUUCAUCAAUUGACACAGUUGAUAUCACCUGUUCCUUUUUUCUCUUCACUAUUUGUAUCCUUAUCCAUGUCCCACUUUUAUACCAUAUUUUUUUAUUAAUGCUCAGUUGUUUUACUUUGUUCAGUACUAGCUUAGGUUAAUGUGGAACAUGAUCUGUCAGUUAAAUGGAAUGGUUCUAUUUGCUAAAUUGACUAAUUUUUGCUCUCUUUCAUACAUUACUAUGUUGGCUAGAGUCUUUGUCUGAUUGUUUUGGUGAUAGACCCAAUGGUCAUGGAUAGCAUAACGAAUCACUUUGGCUAGUAUAUUAUUGCAUUGAAAUAAUUUUUCGAUGAUGCCAAAAGGGGGAAGAUAAUAGGGUUGUGUAAUGCUUAUAACCCAUUGACUAAAUUAUUUCAUUCUAGUGUUUCAUACUUUAGUACCUACAGGUGAAGAUCGUUGAAUGCACAAGACAAGAGGUUUGUCAUCAUAAAAAAAAAAAGAAAUUUGUUGGGUACUAUGUAGUUUUGAUGAUUGACAAACUGACACAUGAAUGAAAUAUGUUACUUGUGUUGGUCCACGCAUAGGAAAGUAGAUUUCCAGUUUCACUGAUAGAUGUAGAAAAGAUUGCUUAAAGAAAAGAACGAAUAAGCAAGCCUAAUUCUGAUAUACUCAAGAUUCUGAUCAUAUGGGGAAUAUAACAAAUUGAAUUUGAUUCAAAUACUUAAUGAUAAGGGAAAGCAAUUUGAGUUGAAAAAUGAGUCCUACGUGAAGGAGUUUCUCUUCUGAGUAUAUCUUGAAGAGUCUUAUGUGUGGGGGGAGAAAGAUUCUGAUAAAUAAACAUGUGCUGAUUUAAAAGGGUUGUAGUUUUACUACAACACUAAGGAAACAAGAGUUGGAAUUAAAGAAAGAGUCUCACUUGAAGUAUAACUCUAUGCAAUGAGAGUUCUAAUUAAAGGAGGAGUUUGAAAUAAAUAAUGACUCUUUGAAGAGCUGUGCUUAAAUAGAAGAUGCAUCAGUCAGAAUAAGACACGCUCUUAAAAAGCAGAAAAUCACAAUCGACAGAUUAAAUUUAUGAAGUACUACUCAAUCACUGAAGAAACGCGUUGAAGAACCUAGUCCUCAGUACAGAAUCAAGCUAAGAGUUUUAGCGUUGAUUUUUAGAGGUGUUCAUUAUGUUUGAACUAUUGAUUUAAUAUUAGUUUCAGUAUGUUAUAAACUGAACUAGGAGCUAGUCUUCGAGUUGGGAAAACUUAGAGACUUUGGGAACGCAUACCUUGGGAGGUAUGUGUGUAGUUAGGAAUUAGAGUUUAUAAUUCUUAGUUGUUGAGUUAUAGGGAUUAGAGUUUAUAAUUCUUAUUUGUUGGUUACAGGAUUUUUGUAAUCAGUCGUUGUUGUGGCUUAGAGUUAUUUACUGAAGUUAGGGUUAAAUCCUGUAGAGGUGCAGGUCGUGGUUUUUUACACCUUUUGAGCUGGGUGUUUUCCACGUAAAAAUCCACUGUGUUCUUUACUUUCUAUUUUACUGCUUCUGUGGAACACGUCAAGAAACCUGUUCUAUCAAUAGACAACAAUUAGGAGAAAAUAAGAUAAUUAGUAGGGCACAAAUUCUUAACAAAGGCUACUCGCCAAUCUUACCAUUUCGGAGUUUAAGCUCCUUAAUUUUUUCCUCUCUUUUCCUAUUUGCAUUAGGUAAUUUAGAAAUGACUUUCUAUUUCGUGUUGGGUGUCAUAUCUUUUAAUCAAGCGUUCUCUUUUUCCCUAUUAAUUUGGUCUAAAGCUUUAGUUUUCAAGCUUACUUGGAUAAUGACUUGAAAUAACUAGUGAUUGUAACUGGAUUAAGUGGGAGUUCAAGUGGAAUUAAUAUGUAGUUUGAGUGUGUGUUAAGGAAUGUAGAGUUUGAUGAUAGACAUGUGAAUGAAAUAUGUUGUGAAAGCUGGACCAUUCAAGUGUACAAAGAAAAGCUGCUGGCAAGGCUACUGAUAAAAUGAUACUGCGCAUAGAUAGGAGUGGAUAAGAAAGAAUAUUCAGGAACCUUCUCAAAAAAUUAUCACUUCAGUAAAGUGGAAGAAAAAUUCAAUAUUCAUAAGUUGAGUUGUUCUAGAAGUCCAACAAUGUGAAGAGUUCUGCAAGGAUAAAAGAUAAAGCAAAAGAGUCCUAUUCAACCAGGAAAGGAGAAACGGCUACAAUAAGGAGUGAAGUUGCUUGAUAGAAGAGAGAAAAAGAAAGAAGCAUAAAUCAAUAAGGACUCUAUCACAGGAGUAAUUAUCAGGGUGCAUGUAUACAACAAAGCACGAUCAAGUAAUUCACUCAAUACACUGAAAAGAAAAUCAGCAUAACAAUUCACCUAUUUGGAGAAGAACCUGGUCCCUUACUUAGCAAGUCGUAGACUAUGUAGUAGGUAGGUUCUUUGUGUUGUAAUAAGUCAUUGUUCUAGUCUUAGUGAUCUAUAAACUGAGUUAGGAAUUGUGUCUUCAAGUUGGGAACUCGAAAACUUGGGAACACUUGUCUUGAGAAGAUUUAUGUUUUUGUAGCGAUAAGAGUUAGAAGUUUUAAUUCCUAGUUAACAAGAAGUCUUGUAUUUCUAUUGAUUGUUGUGUCUCAAGUAUUAUGGUGAAUUUGGGGUUAAAUCCUAUAGGGGUACACGUCAUGGUUUUUAACACCUUUCUUGAGCCGGGUGUUUUCCACGUAAAAACACUAUGUUUAGUAUUUACUUCUGUGAACCACGUUUACUUACUUGUUCCACAGAUAGGCAAUUAGUAGGGCUCAUAAUAUAACAAGUGGUAUCAGAGAGAGAUUUUCUUAAAUAAGGCUUAUACCUAAGAAAAGAUCAAUAUGAUGAAUUUCACACCUCCUACUACUCACAGUGAAGUUCAGUCAACUACUAGACCUCCACUUUUUGAUGCCUCUCAUUUUAUCUGGUGGAAAGCAAGAAUGGAGAUGUUCAUUAAAGGUAAAGAUUAUGAACUAUGGGACAAGAUUACUGAUGGUCCCACUAUUCCAAUGAAGACGAUUGAUGGUGGACAAUUUAAGAAAGUUAGGAGUGAAUUUACUCCAGAUGACUUGUUGUCUUUGAAGAGAAAUGCAAAGGCCGAGAAUAUCUUGGUCUAUGGACUAGGACCUGCUGAAUACAAUAGGGUAUCUACUUGCACUAAUGCAAAAAAAAAAUUUGGGAUGUACUGGUAAAUGCUCAUAAAGGCACUUCUCAAGUAAGAAAUUUCAGGAUCUCUCUCCUUUUCACUGAGUAUGAGGCAUUUAAAAUGAAGAAAAAUAAAACCUUGCACGAAAUGAUAACUAGGCUUACCACUUUAAAAAAUGAGCUGACUUCCCUAGGAAAAGUCAUCUCUGAGUAAGAAUAAGUUGAAAAGGUACUGAGGGUAUUACCAAAAUCAAAAUGGAAUGUCAAGGUGACUGCAAUCAGAGAGGCGAAUAAGGAUCUUGAAGGUAUGACUCUGGAUGAACUAGUAGGGAACUUAAGGACUUAUGAAAUGGAAGUUGAUGGAGUCAAAGAACGAGUAGCUCCUGAGAAAAUCUUAGCAUUGAAGGCUUCUGAGAGUGAUGAUGAAUUUGAACUUGAUAAGAAGCAAGUUGCCUUCAUAACUAAGAACUUCUGCAAAUUCUUUAAGAAGAAGAAGGGAACAGGUACUAAGAAAUGUUUCAAUGACAAUCCAAAUGGGUGUUACAAAUGUGACAAAAUUGAUCAUCAGAUUAGGGACUGUCCAGUCUGGGAAAUGGAAUGGAAAAGGGAAAGGGCUGAAAAAGAACUGAAGGCAAAAAGGAAAGUGGAGCAUGCAAUGAUAGUAGCCUGGAGGAUCUAAGUCUAAUAAAGAUAAAGUUGAUGAAACUGCAUUCAUGGAUCUUAGGGAUUCAGAUCUAGAUGAAAAAGAUGAGGACUCUGAGGUAAGUAUACUCGAACACAAAGAAAAACUGAAAUUGUUCUCUAAGUCAAAACUUAUUUCUUUGAUGAAUGCAUUGAUUGAUGAUUUCCAAGAGUUAACCUCUAAUAGGGAUGAAUUGUUCAAUAGUCUGGCAAGUCUUAAAUUUGAUCUCAUUGAUUUAAGGGCUUGCUCAGAUAUAGUUGACAAGGAAAGUUACAUAAUCAAGAAACAGGUUGCAGAACUUGAGAUUUCAAACAAUGAUCUCAGGUCUAAAGUUUACAAAUUAACUCUCAUUGAAAAUAUAAAGAAGACAAUGAGUAAUGAACAAGAAACUGCUAAACUUGAGCUUGUUAAAUACAAACAAGAAUGCCAUGAUUUAACUGAAAAAUUGAAUGAGUUGAAUUAGGAAAUAUCUAAACUCAAAUUGGAUCUUGAAAGGGCUAACAAGUGGAUAAACUCCUCUUGAAUUGUUCACAAAUUAAGUGAGAAAAAAUUCAAUGAAAAGGCAGGUUUGGGAUUCCAUAAAAGUUUUGAUAAUCCAAACGAUUUAUGUUUCAUUUUUGGAAACCUUGGACAUCCCACCACUGAAUGUCCAGUAGCUGCGAAAAACAGAUUAGCCAGUCAAAAUCUGGCUAACAGAUCUUCUCAGACCAAAAAGAACAAAACCAAUUCUGGUCAGAGAAAUAGGUUGCACUACAUGUUGCCAGCAUGGACUAAGAAAAAUUUAAUUUAUCUUUUCACUCAUAAAUCAGGACCCAAGCUUGUCUGGGUUUCUAAGGCUAACCUUUGAAUUUUUUUGCAGAAGAAGGUGAAAGGAAACAAAAGGCACUGGUAUUUGGAUAGUUCUUGCUCAAUACAUAUGACUGGUGAUAAGAAAAAAUUUCUUUCACUAUCCAAAAUAAAUAGAUAUGAGUCUCUUUUAGAGAUAGAAAAAAGGAAAUCAUAACUGGAGUUGGAAAAAUUGGCUCAUCUGAGUCAAAAGCAUUAGAGGAUGUCUAUCUUGUAGAAGGAUUAAAGCAUAAUCUGCUGAGUAUCUCUCAGCUGUGUGAUAAAGGUAAUAAAGUUACUUUUACUGCUGCUGCAGGAGUCAAGGUCAAAAUGAUGGAUACUAAAGAGGUUGUGCUCACUGCAAGGAGAUAUAAAAAUGUAUGCAAAGUUGACAUCAUGGCGCUACCAGGACCAGAGCUGACUUGUCUAAGUGCUAUGGAAAAUGAUCCCCUCCUUUGGCACAUAAGACUUGGUUAUGCAAGUCUGAAACAACUCAACAUACUUUCAUCCAAAGACAUGGCAUUGGGAUUACCCAAGACCAAGUUCAAGGAAUAAAAGCUAUGUAGUGCAUGUGUAUAGGGAAAGCAGGUAAGAUCCUCUUUUAAGUCAAAGAACCAUGUUAGUACUACCAAGUACCUUGACCUGGUUCAUAUAGACUUAUGUGGACCCAUGAGACUUCAAAGUAGAGGUGGAAAAAGGUAUGUGUUUGUAAUUGUUGAUGACUAUUCCAGGUUUACUUGGACUUUUUUUCUAGCCUCUAAAGAAGAUGCCUUUGAUGUUUUUGAAAUCUUCACUAAGAAAAUUGAAAAGAAACUGGGUACUUCUUUAGUUUCCAUAAGGUCUGACCAUGGUUCAGAAUUUGAGAAUGUAAAAUUUUUGAAAUACUAUUCAGCAAAUGGUAUAGAUCACAACUUCUCAAUUCCUAGAACACCACAACAAAAUGGAGUGGUGGAAAGAAAAAAUAGAACCUUGGAAGAUAUGGCUAGAACAAUGAUGCUUGCAACAAAUAUUGCUAAAAAUCUUUGGGCUGAGGCUAUAAGUACUGCAGCAUAUAUCAUAAAUAGAUGCAUAUCAGGCCUUUGUUAGGAAAGACUCCAUAUGAAUUACUAAAAGGAAGAAAGCCUAACAUCUCUCACCUUAGAAUCUUUGGAUGUAAAUAUUUCACACAUAAUAAUGGAAAGGAUAAUUUGGAAAAAUUUCAUGCUAAAAGUGAUGAGAGAAUCUUCUUAGGAUAUUCACUUCAUAGUAAGGUCUAUAGGGUUUUAAAUAACAAAACUAAAUGUGUUGAAGAAAGCAUGCAUGUAAUCCUUAAUGAAUCCUAUGUUAAGACUAACCUGCAGGAAGGAAGUGACAUGGAGGAAUAGGUUAUACAACCCGGUGCAUCAACUGGUGCUACCAAAUAUGGAGAUAUUUCGAUAGGGGGAACUGAAGCUGAGGGAACAGUGAUAGGGAGAACUGAGCAUACCCCAGCUCAGCACAUUAACAAUGAUCCUAUAGAAUGAAAUGCCUUCAUCAUAUCAAUCUUCAAACAUGCAAGUACUAAACAUGCAACAGAACCAACAAAGCAUAAAAUAUCAUACAUAAUAUAUUUUGACUGCAUCAACAUUGAUAUCCAUUCCUGUCAGAUAUUGAGCCAAAGAAGAUAACUAAAGUAUUGCUUGAUGCUGAUUGGAUCAUAGCCAUGCAGAAAGAGUUGAAUCAAUUUGAGAGAAGCAAAGUAUGGGACUUUGUUCCUCUCCCUAAAGAUAGAUCAGUAAUUGGAAAUAAAUGGGUGUGUAGAAAUAAAGUUGAUGAGCAAGGAACAGUUAAAAGAAAAAAGACAAGAUUGGUGGUUCAAGGAUACAAUCAAGAAAAAGGAAUUGACUUUGAUGAGACUUUUUAUCCUGUAGCAAGACUUGAAGCUAUAAGAUUACUUGUUGCUUUUGCUGCACACAUAGAUUUUAUCGUUUAUCAAAUGGAUGUGAAGAGUGCCUUCCUAAAUAGCAUUCUCAAGGAGGAAGUGUAUGUUAAACAACCUCUAGGAUUUGAAAGCAAGGAGUUUCCAGAUCAUGUGUACAAAUUGGAUAAAGCCUUGUAUGGAUUGAAACAAUCUCCAAGAGCUUGGUAUGAGAGACUGUCAAAGUUUCUAUUGGAACAUGGACAUACCAGAGGUAAAAUUAAUAAUACCCUCUUUAUGAAAACUAAUGGGAAGGAUUUGUUAGUUGUGCAGGUGUAUGUGGAUGAUAUUAUUUUUGGCUCAACAAAUAUGAAUAUGACUCAUAAGUUUGCCAAACUCAUGAGUUGUGAAUUUGAGAUGAGCAUGAUGGGAGAGCUGAAUUACUUCUUGGGUUUGCAAAUAAAGCAGUCAGCUUUAGGGACAAUGAUUUACCAAUAGAAGUAUGUCAAAGAGCUUCUCAAGAGAUUUUUCAUGAAAGAGGCAAAAGAGACAAGUACUCCUAUUGCCACUGCCACAAAGUUAGAGUUAGAUAAAACAGGUUCAGAGUUAGAUAAAACAGGUUCAGAUGUAGAGCAAAAGAUGUAUAAAGGUAUGAUUGGGUCAUUAUUAUACCUCAUAGCAAGCAUGCCUAACAUUGUGUUCAGUGUUGGUCUAUGUGAUAGGUUUCAAGCAAAACCCAAAGAAUCUCAUCUAAAAUCUGUGAAGAGAAUCUUCAGAUACUUGAAGGGAACCAGUGAUCUUGGCUUAUGGUACCCCAAAUGAAGCAACUUUAAUCUGAUAGGUUACUCAGAUGCUGAUUAUGUAGGAUAUCUGGUGGACAGGAAAAGAACUACAGGAAUGGCACACUUUCUUAGAUCAUGUUUGAUUACCUGGUCCACUAAGAAGCAAAAUUCAGUUGCUCUAUCUACUGCUAAAGCUGAAUAUGUUGUUGUAGGAUCCUGUUGUACUCAAUUACUAUGGAUUAAGCAAUAACUCAUGGAUUUUGGUAUAGAUGUUGGUUGUGUUCCUAUUUUUUGUGAUAAUACCAGUGCUAUUAACAUAGCUAAAAAUCCUGUUCAACAGAACCAAACAUAUUGAUAUUAGGCAUCACUUUCUUAGAGAUAAUGUUGAAAAAGGUAAUAUAUCCAUUAUGUUUUGUUUUACUGAGGAAUAGAUUGCUGACAUUUUCACUAAGGCCUUGAGUAGAGAACACUUUGAAAAAAAUAGGUUAGCCUUGGGGAUGAUUAAAAUUGCAUAAGUCUCCCUCAAUGAUUGACUAAAAUAAGUUGACUUUACAAAUGAUUGUUAAUCAAUUUAGUCUCACACAUUAAGUUGUGUAUCCUAAGUCCAAGAUUUUAGAGUAUGGUUGAUUAAUAUGUGUGUGUUGAUUUUGCAGAAAGCCUUGAUUACAGAAGCAAUUUUGUUUAUUUUGUCAUUCAGGUAUGCUUAUUAUUACUUCAAAGUAGCUUAAAGAGAAACAAGUUGUUUUCCUGGUUCCUUAUUGGUCCAUUUAAACCGCCAAAAUACAAAGAGCCCCUUUCCUGUCAAAAAGCUGCCACUUUCUUUCCCAUUAGGACUGAAACACUUAUCAUUACGUUCUGUCAAAUACAGUCCCUCACCUCUUAAACUUCCUCAUCUUUUUUCUCUUAAAUACGUUUUUGAUUGUCUUGUUUCUACACUAAAAAUUCUCUGCACCUUCUUCAUACUCAAGAAUACCUUCUUGAUUCAACAAUGGCAUCAUCUUCUUCCUCUUCUUUUCCCCCCUCCACUGACUCUAUUCUAAAUCCUUUCACUACACUUAUCCUUCAUCCAAACAUCACCUUACCUCCCUUAAUUCCUUCUUCACUCUCCCAAAAAUUCACCAAUUUUGUUACUUUCAGAAAUUUCCCAAACCCUUUUGCCCAAAUUUCUUGACCUUCUCUAUUAUCUUUGAAACCUUUCUUUCCUCCUCCUAUACCACUCCAAAUUAUUGAAGAUGAUGAUAAUCCUAGUGACAGAUAUGAUAUUCCUAUUGCAGAGUUAAUCCCCAGAAGGUUAAGGUCCAAGUUCCCAAGAAAACCCCCUUCCAUUCCUAUCACUGUUCACAACACUGCCCUUUAUAGCCUUCUCCAAAUGUAGCUAUCCCUCGCACUCCUCACACUCGAGGAAGAAAACAAUGAGAAGAUGCAUCCUUGGCUGAGGCUCUUCGAGCCAAUAAAAAGAAACGUGUGUCUACAUUUGAUUCCAACCUGACUCGUGCAUCUUCUCCUUAUCUUCUACUUUGAUCUAUCAGAAAGAUAAAAACUAUCAUGGCCAAAGUUCUAAACCCUCGUUGCCCAUGAAAUCCUCUUCUAAACCUGCUCAAAAGGCCUCUUGCUCUUCGAAAUUUCCUUCUACUGUCAAAGGAUCCUCCUCGUCAAAAGUUUCCCCUUCCAAGAUUUCUACUCGUCUCAAUAAAUAGGUUACCCCACCUAUUCUUUCUGACUCAUCUGACUCUAAAUUUACUCCAGAUGCUAAUGAUGAGUUAGAACCUGAGUUUGAAGUUCCCCAUUCAUCUUCUUAUCAGGAUAAUCCUGAGGCUCAACAUCUUCACUUUCAAAAGAGGAAAUUAGCUAGAGGAAGGGUUGUUAGUGGUUUUGGGGGGCUGAUAUGCAAGUGUUACUGGGAAAAUUAGAGUUUCAAGGUCGUUCACAUUUAUUUCUUCAGGGUGAUAUUUGCAAAGCCUAAAGUGUAUGAGUUUUAUAUGAAUGGGUGAAAAUUGGUGAGUUGUUCUCCACCACUGUCAGAAAGGUUACCAAGAACCUUUAUGUUGCUGACAUUGCUCGAAUUUUACGUAUUCCCUCUGGGGGAUGAGGUCACUAUGUCAAGGGUGCCUGGAGUCCUCUGGAUAAUCUUGCUUCUUCCCUCAACAUAUGUAGAAAGGAAAUUCUAACUUGCUCCACCAUAAAAGAAUCCUUAAGGGGGAGAUGUCCCUAUUACAUCAGCUCUAUUUUGAUUUGAUCGAUAAAAUGAUUAUCCCUAGGAAAGAGAGACGGUGUGUGGUUAGUUUUCUUGGUCUUACACUCAUGCAAAGGGUUUUACUUAAGGAAGUGAAUGGACAUGCUCUACUUUAUCAAUUCUGGCUCACCCCCAUAUUUGAGGACUUUGGUGUUUCUAUUUAAUUUUGGUCUUCACAGACUACCAAAGAUAUCAUAGGGCAUGUGAAUCAUAUGAUGCUACCUUUUUCCAUGAAGAGUGCUGAUAAUCCGAUGCAAAGAUUGAGAAAUUCACUGGCAGAGAAACAAACUGAGGUAGAAAUUGCUCAGGCAGCUUUGGAGGCUGUACAAGCUACUCACGAAGAAGAAAAAGGGAUUCUGCAUGCUCAAAUUGCUUCCCUUAAUUCCUUGUUAGAAAAAGAGAGAGCUGAAAAUGCAGAUGUUAUUCGGAAACUCACCUCUUUUAUUCCCUCCUCUUCUUCUACUUAGUAUCUUCACUGAUAUCUUAAGCCUAUCUUCUUUUGUUCUUUUUCUUGACAGCUUGUUCUUUCUUAUUUUACUUUUUGGUAUAUGCAGUCAUCUCUACAAAUGAAUGAAAUGGGCUUAGUUGUUCUACUAUUUUCUGUUCCUGCUUUAUCAUAUUGCAUUCAUGUUCCCUUAUUCUGAAUUUUGAUUGUCUUGGUGAUAGCCUCAAUGGCCAUGAAUUAUUAAAUUUUUCUCACUUGUUGAUCCAGCUUUUUGAUAAUGUCAAAAGGGAGAAGAGUAGAGUAGGCUAUGCUAUUCUUAUAACUCAAUGACUAACCUGUUUCAUUCUGUUCUAGUCUUUUAUUCAAUGCCUUAUUGAGUAGGUCAGGUUCUGUGAUGUGCUGCUAUGUUUUUCAUCAACAAAAAAG